RNAcentral lists this ribosomal RNA (336 nucleotides) under uncultured vent bacterium. Its description in RNAcentral is "bacterial SSU rRNA". It matches the Rfam family "Bacterial small subunit ribosomal RNA", at positions 1043 to 1364 of the family's 1533-position model. The record is from RNAcentral.
UUUUGGCCGUGGUCUGCUAGUGUCGUGAAAAGUUUGGUUAAGUGCAAUCAUCGUGCGCAACCCUUGUCGCUUGUUGCCUGCACUUCGGGUGGGAGCUGUUGCGAUACUGCCUGUGACAAACCGGAGGAAGGUGGGGAUGACUUCAAGUUUUCAUGGCCUUUAUGCCCAGCACUGUACCCCUUCUGCAAUGGGCGGUAUAGAGGGUAUGCAGCCCGCGAGGGGGAGCCAAUUUCACAAAGCCGCUCACUAGUCCGUGAUUGGAGUCUUCAACUCGACGAAAUGAAGUCGGAAUCGUCUUGUAAUCGGGGUCAGCAUGGCCACGGUGUUUCUUCUCUG